This 23-nucleotide non-coding RNA is filed under the name Cricetulus griseus (Chinese hamster). Lineage: Eukaryota; Metazoa; Chordata; Mammalia; Rodentia; Cricetidae. The record is from RNAcentral.
UCUUGGCCACUGUAGAUUACUGC